This 484-nucleotide ribosomal RNA is filed under the name uncultured bacterium. Its description in RNAcentral is "partial 16S ribosomal RNA". It matches the Rfam family "Bacterial small subunit ribosomal RNA", at positions 30 to 507 of the family's 1533-position model. The record is from RNAcentral.
AUUGAACGCUGGCGGCAGGCCUAACACAUGCAAGUCGAGCGGAUGAAGGGAGCUUGCUCCUGGAUUCAGGGGCGGACGGGUGAGUAAUGCCUAUGAAUCUGCCUGGUCGUGGGGGAUAACGUCCGGAAACGGGCGCUAAUCUCGCUUACGUCCUGUGGGGGAAAGUGGGGGAUCUUCGGAUCUCACGCUAUCAGAUGAGCCUAGGUCGGAUUAGCUAGUUGGUGGGGUAGAGGCCUACCAAGGCGACGAUCCGUAACUGGUCUGAGAGGAUGAUCAGUCACUCUGGAACUGAGACACGGUCCAGACUCCGACGGGAGGCAGCAGUGGCGAAUAUUGGACGAUGGGGGAAAGCCUGAUCCAGCCAUGCCGGGUGUGUGAAGAAGGUCUUCGGAUGGUAUAGCGGUUUAAGUGGGGAGGAAGGGCAGUAAGUUAAUACCUGGCUGUUUUGACGGUACCAACAGAAUAAGCACCGGCUAACUUCGUG